CUCAUCAUAUUUGUUUAGUGGAAGACAAAUGUUAAGCUCUGACAGUGUGUUGAAACUUGUGUGGCCACUAGAGAAGUGGUGGAGUCACCAUCCAUCCUUGGAGUUGCUCAAGAACUGUGAAGAUGUGGCACUGAAAGUUUAGUAAGCAUGGUGGAGUGGGUUGGUGGUUGGACUUGAUGAUCUUAUAGGUCUUUUCCAGCCUUAAUGAUUCUAUGAUUCUAUUAAAUGGUUGCGGCCACUAAUAUCUUUAUCUUUCCUCCUAGCCAUGCAUGCUGGUUUGACCAGGGGAGCCAUGCAGCUCAGGACAUGAAGCACAAAGCCAUCUACACAAGAGAGAAGCUGCUCUGUUCUCCUGGAAGGCUGCCCUUAGGCCAGUUUCCCAAGGGCUUCUUGGUCUAUGGAAGUGCCAAAUAACUAAGCUGCACUUUACAGAACAGCUGGGCAAGGACUGAAGUUGGACUUUUUAAACCAUGGCUUCUAUUUCCUGAAUAAAUCUUUAACUAUCAGGGAAGUCUCA
Molecule: long non-coding RNA, 517 nt
Filed under: Coturnix japonica (Japanese quail)
Lineage: Eukaryota; Metazoa; Chordata; Aves; Galliformes; Phasianidae
Description: lncRNA (ENSCJPG00005004160.1)
Source: RNAcentral